This 257-nucleotide unclassified non-coding RNA is filed under the name Ascomycota sp. RNAcentral describes it as "partial contains small subunit ribosomal RNA, internal transcribed spacer 1, and 5.8S ribosomal RNA". The stretch from base 1 to 47 matches the Rfam family "Eukaryotic small subunit ribosomal RNA", at positions 1785 to 1831 of the family's 1831-position model. Lineage: Eukaryota; Fungi; Ascomycota. The record is from RNAcentral.
AAAGUCGUAACAAGGUUUCCGUAGGUGAACCUGCGGAAGGAUCAUUAUCUAUCAAGCUGUGGUCGCGGCCCCUGGGGUAACUCCUGGGCGGUAGAGGUAACACUCGCACGCGCCACGCGCCUGAAUCCUUUUUUUUACGAGCACCUUUCGUUCUCCUUCCUGCCGCUGGAACUUUAUAAACCCUUUUUUGAAUCCAGCAUUACCUGUUCUGAUAUAAACAAUCGUUACAACUUUCAACAAUGGAUCUCUUGGCUCUG